RNAcentral lists this ribosomal RNA (414 nucleotides) under Triticum aestivum (bread wheat). Its description in RNAcentral is "partial small subunit ribosomal RNA". Lineage: Eukaryota; Viridiplantae; Streptophyta; Magnoliopsida; Poales; Poaceae. The record is from RNAcentral.
AUGAGAUGGCCUUCGUUGAACCGCUGUGGCCUCGCUGUCAAACCACCGCGGCCUCAGGUCAGCUCAAGCGCCGCCCUUGUGCUUUGUCAGCCGCCAUCGUUGAGCUGCCGUCAUGCUCACCUCUGCUUCAGCCCGGCUCUGCCGUGCGUCGCUGUCGCACCGGGUCGCCGCUCCGGCCUUAAACCGCAGUUUUGUGACGAGUGCUGGCGAGCGCCUCGCGCCUCCGUUGGCGUUGCCCCUGCAUUGAGCAUCGCCCGCUCCGUACCGUACCAAGCUACUCACAUCUGUACAGUGUUGCAAGUUGCCAAGGAUCAGAUCCUGAGGCUACAAGACUUGAACCGGUCUAUAUCACAGUCAACUAUGGAGAAUCUCAAGCCAACUCCUCAAAGUCGCCUUGAGACGCGGGGGCUAUGA